GAUUGGUGCUUGCAUCAUGAUUUACAUUUGAGUGAGUGGCGAACUGGUGAGUAACACGUGGGAAACCUGCCCAGAAGCGGGGGAUAACACCUGGAAACAGAUGCUAAUACCGCAUAACAACUUGGACCGCAUGGUCCGAGUUUGAAAGAUGGCUUCGGCUAUCACUUUUGGAUGGUCCCGCGGCGUAUUAGCUAGAUGGUGAGGUAACGGCUCACCAUGGCAAUGAUACGUAGCCGACCUGAGAGGGUAAUCGGCCACAUUGGGACUGAGACACGGCCCAAACUCCUACGGGAGGCAGCAGUAGGGAAUCUUCCACAAUGGACGAAAGUCUGAUGGAGCAACGCCGCGUGAGUGAAGAAGGGUUUCGGCUCGUAAAACUCUGUUGUUAAAGAAGAACAUAUCUGAGAGUAACUGUUCAGGUAUUGACGGUAUUUAACCAGAAAGCCACGGCUAACUACGUGCCAGCAGCCGCGGUAAUACGUAGGUGGCAAGCGUUGUCCGGAUUUAUUGGGCGUAAAGCGAGCGCAGGCGGUUUUUUAAGUCUGAUGUGAAAGCCUUCGGCUCAACCGAAGAAGUGCAUCGGAAACUGGGAAACUUGAGUGCAGAAGAGGACAGUGGAACUCCAUGUGUAGCGGUGAAAUGCGUAGAUAUAUGGAAGAACACCAGUGGCGAAGGCGGCUGUCUGGUCUGUAACUGACGCUGAGGCUCGAAAGUAUGGGUAGCAAACAGGAUUAGAUACCCUGGUAGUCCAUACCGUAAACGAUGAAUGCUAAGUGUUGGAGGGUUUCCGCCCUUCAGUGCUGCAGCUAACGCAUUAAGCAUUCCGCCUGGGGAGUACGGCCGCAAGGCUGAAACUCAAAGGAAUUGACGGGGGCCCGCACAAGCGGUGGAGCAUGUGGUUUAAUUCGAAGCUACGCGAAGAACCUUACCAGGUCUUGACAUACUAUGCAAAUCUAAGAGAUUAGACGUUCCCUUCGGGGACAUGGAUACAGGUGGUGCAUGGUUGUCGUCAGCUCGUGUCGUGAGAUGUUGGGUUAAGUCCCGCAACGAGCGCAACCCUUAUUAUCAGUUGCCAGCAUUAAGUUGGGCACUCUGGUGAGACUGCCGGUGACAAACCGGAGGAAGGUGGGGAUGACGUCAAAUCAUCAUGCCCCUUAUGACCUGGGCUACACACGUGCUACAAUGGAUGGUACACCGAGUUGCGAACUCGCGAGAGUAAGCUAAUCUCUUAAAGCCAUUCUCAGUUCGGAUUGUAGGCUGCAACUCGCCUACAUGAAGUCGGAAUCGCUAGUAAUCGCGGAUCAGCAUGCCGCGGUGAAUACGUUCCCGGGCCUUGUA
RNAcentral lists this ribosomal RNA (1338 nucleotides) under Lactiplantibacillus plantarum. Its description in RNAcentral is "bacterial SSU rRNA". It matches the Rfam family "Bacterial small subunit ribosomal RNA", at positions 71 to 1385 of the family's 1533-position model. Lineage: Bacteria; Bacillati; Bacillota; Bacilli; Lactobacillales; Lactobacillaceae. The record is from RNAcentral.